This 234-nucleotide long non-coding RNA is filed under the name Mytilus galloprovincialis (Mediterranean mussel). Lineage: Eukaryota; Metazoa; Mollusca; Bivalvia; Mytilida; Mytilidae. The record is from RNAcentral.
ACUGUAGUUCAACAAGAGGAUCCUUUCCAGACUCACUUUUAUAUUUCAAGAAUAUGUUUUUUCUGUGAUAAAAUAUAAUCCUAUUAACCUUAGAACAUAAGAGGAAUCCGAGACAUUUAUCAUAAGGUUAGAAAAUGCAUGUGCAAUUAUUGAAAAGUAAUUAUUCUAAUAUGUUGAUGAUAAAGAUAAGCACAUAAAUGGGAAAUGUGUCAAAGAGACAACAACCCGACCAUA